UACGAAGGGUGCAAGCGUUACUCGGAAUUACUGGGCGUAAAGGGUGCGUAGGUGGUCGUUUAAGUCCGUUGUGAAAUCCCUGGGCUCAACCUGGGAAUGGCAGUGGAUACUGGACGGCUAGAAUGCGGUAGAGGGUAGUGGAAUUUCCGGUGUAGCGGUGAAAUGCGUAGAUAUCGGAAGGAACAUCAGUGGCGAAAGCGACUUCCUGGACCAGUACCGACGUUCAGGCACGAAAGCGUGGGGAGCAAACAGG
RNAcentral lists this ribosomal RNA (253 nucleotides) under uncultured bacterium. RNAcentral describes it as "partial 16S ribosomal RNA". It matches the Rfam family "Bacterial small subunit ribosomal RNA", at positions 524 to 776 of the family's 1533-position model. The record is from RNAcentral.